GUUGAAAGCCGUGGAAUGAAUCACUAUUUAGGAAAUGUCAGAUGCAUUAACACUGCUGUUGGAAGUUCCCACAGGAAACCAAGAAAAAAAGGUUUCAAGAUCAGUCUUUUACCACUUUGACCUCUGCCUACACUUAUUUGAACAGCACAGAAGGCAUACAUCUUAUUCUACUACAGUUCAGGUCCCUGGUUUGUUCUCAAAGAAGCUUAAUAUUUGUUACAGAUAAAUGGACUUGGUUGCAUCUUACAGGUUCUGACGUCCAAGUAAAUCCCAUCUUCUCAAGACUGGAUUCUUCUGAAGGCAUAAUUCCAGCAUGAGGUGUGGGGUGGGAAAGGAAAAAAUACGAAGAUUUAAAAUAGGAAGAUUUUAAGCUCUCUGCAUCUGUACCUGACUGUAUUGUAAUUUUCAGUUAAGAAAUCUAUACUAAGCUUUAUCAAUGUACAAAUAUAUGGAAAUAAAGCCCCUAAAUAAUCAAGA
Molecule: long non-coding RNA, 477 nt
Organism: Corvus hawaiiensis (hawaiian crow)
Lineage: Eukaryota; Metazoa; Chordata; Aves; Passeriformes; Corvidae
Exons: 3
Source: RefSeq, a predicted model, not a curated record